Molecule: ribosomal RNA, 551 nt
Filed under: uncultured Pseudomonadota bacterium
Lineage: Bacteria; Pseudomonadati; Pseudomonadota
Description: bacterial SSU rRNA
Rfam family: Bacterial small subunit ribosomal RNA
Source: RNAcentral
AUGGGCUUCGGCCUGAUGGCGAGUGGCGAACGGGUGAGUAAUACAUCGGAACGUGCCCCGUAGUGGGGGAUAACCAGUCGAAAGAUUGGCUAAUACCGCAUAUGCUCUACGGAGGAAAGCGGGGGAUCGCAAGACCUCGCGCUAUGGGAGCGGCCGAUGUCCGAUUAGCUUGUUGGUGAGGUAAAGGCUCACCAAGGCGACGAUCGGUAGCUGGUCUGAGAGGAUGAUCAGCCACACUGGGACUGAGACACGGCCCAGACUCCUACGGGAGGCAGCAGUGGGGAAUUUUGGACAAUGGGGGGAACCCUGAUCCAGCCAUGCCGCGUGAGUGAAGAAGGCCUUCGGGUUGUAAAGCUCUUUUGUACGGAAAGAAAAGGUCGAGGCUAAUACCCUUGAUCCUUGACGGUACCGUAAGAAUAAGCACCGGCUAACUACGUGCCAGCAGCCGCGGUAAUACGUAGGGUGCGAGCGUUAAUCGGAAUUACUGGGCGUAAAGCGUGCGUAGGCGGUUCGUUGUGUCUGCCGUGAAAGCCCCGGGCUUAACCUGGGAA